Molecule: long non-coding RNA, 958 nt
Organism: Oncorhynchus keta (chum salmon)
Lineage: Eukaryota; Metazoa; Chordata; Actinopteri; Salmoniformes; Salmonidae
Exons: 6
Source: RefSeq, a predicted model, not a curated record
UGACCCGGUGGGUAUUAGAUAUCACUGGGGUUCAGAUGUUGACCCGGUAGGUAUUAGAUAUCACUGGGGUUCUGACAGAUGUUGACCCGGUGGGUAUUAGAUAUCACUGGGGUUCUGACAGAUGUUGACCCGGUGGGUAUUAGAUAUCACUGGGGUUCUGACAGAUGUUGACCCGGUAGGUAUUAGAUAUCACUGGGGUUCAGAUGUUGACCCGGUAGGUAGUAGAUAUCACUGGGGUUCUGACAGAUGUUGACCCGGUGGGUAUUAGAUAUCACUGGGGUUCUGACAGAUGUUGACCCGGUAGGUAUUAGAUAUCACUGGGGUUCAGAUGUUGACCCGGUAGGUAUUAGAUAUCACUAGGGUUCAGACAGAUAUUGACCCGGUAGGUAUUAGAUAUCACUGGGGUUCAGAUGUUGACCCGGUAGGUAUUAGAUAUCACUAGGGUUCAGAUGUUGACCCGGUAGGAAUUAGAUAUCACUGGGGUUCAGAUGUUGACCCGGUAGGUAUUAGAUAUCACUGGGGUUCAGAUGUUGACCCGGUAGGUAUUAGAUAUCACUGGGGUUCAGAUGUUGACCCGGUGGGUAUUAGAUAUCACUGGGGUUCUGACAGAUGUUGACCCGGUGGGUAUUAGAUAUCACUGGGGUUCUGACAGAUGUUGACCCGGUAGGUAUUAGAUAUCACUGGGGUUCUGACAGAUGUUGACCCGGUGGGUAUUAGAUAUCACUGGGGUUCUGACAGAUGUUGACCCGGUAGGUAUUAGAUAUCACUGGGGUUCUGACAGAUGUUGACCCGGUGGGUAUUAGAUAUCACUGGGGUUCUGACAGAUGUUGACCCGGUGGGUAGUAGAUAUCACUGGGGUUCUGACAGAUGUUGACCCGGUAGGUAUUAGAUAUCACUGGGGUUCUGACAGAUGUUGACCCGGUAGGUAUUAGAUAUCACUGGGGUUCUGACAGAUGUU